Unclassified non-coding RNA from Cavia porcellus (domestic guinea pig), 101 nucleotides. Its record names the gene Vault. It matches the Rfam family "Vault RNA". Rfam says of the family: This family of RNAs are found as part of the enigmatic vault ribonucleoprotein complex. Lineage: Eukaryota; Metazoa; Chordata; Mammalia; Rodentia; Caviidae. The record is from Ensembl.
GGGCUGGCUUUAGCCCAGUGGUUCCUUUGAGUCUGGCUUCCCAACCACCCAGUCCAAUUGGUCCGGUGGUUCGAGACCCGUGGGCGCGCUCCAGUCCUUUU